This 253-nucleotide ribosomal RNA is filed under the name uncultured bacterium. RNAcentral's name for it is "partial 16S ribosomal RNA". It matches the Rfam family "Bacterial small subunit ribosomal RNA", at positions 524 to 776 of the family's 1533-position model. The record is from RNAcentral.
UACGGGGGGAGCAAGCGUUGUUCGGAUUUACUGGGCGGAAAGGGCGCGUAGGCGGCGCCGCAAGUCACUUGUGAAAUCUCCGGGCUCAACUCGGAACGGCCAAGUGAUACUGCGGUGCUAGAGUGCGGAAGGGGCAACUGGAAUUCUUGGUGUAGCGGUGAAAUGCGUAGAUAUCAAGAGGAACACCUGCGGCGAAGGCGGGUUGCUGGGCCGACACUGACGCUGAGGCGCGAAAGCUAGGGGAGCGAACGGG